This is a long non-coding RNA of Spinacia oleracea (spinach), 817 nucleotides long. RefSeq lists it as uncharacterized. The transcript has 2 exons. Lineage: Eukaryota; Viridiplantae; Streptophyta; Magnoliopsida; Caryophyllales; Amaranthaceae. The record is from RefSeq and is a predicted model, not a curated record.
AAUCUUCUUCGCUUUCUCUCUCAUCUCCCUUGUUCUUCUUCCUUGAAUUCUACUCAAACGCUACAAAAUCUGGGUGUUCUUUGGGUGAAUUCGGGACAAAAAGGGGAUAUUUGAAGCGAUUUCGAUCUCACCCCCAAUUCAUCAAUGGCAGAUUCACCUCAAAUUACUCAGAAACACAAGGCUCCAUGAGGGUUCGAUCUCACCCCCAAUUCAUCAACAGCCAUUGAUCUUCUUCCAGUGAUUUGGUGGUGCAAGUGGUGGGAAGUCCGACGAAUCCACCAUUGUCGCCGACGAAGGUUGAAGGCUGGCCAAUUCCGCAAACUCCAAGAAGAGGAAGGAACCCGAGAAGUUGCAGAAGGUUGAAGAAGUGGGUCCUGUUUGGUGGGUUGAAACCUCCAAGAACAUCUCCCUUCAUUUUCAAUUCGAUCCAGAUGUUUCUGAUAGUUUUGCUUAUGAGGGUGCAGUACUGAACGAACUAAAGCAGUGGAAGGAGCUCUAUGGAGAAGGAGGGUCAAGAAAUGAGCAACUUACUUACUUCUUAUAGGAAGGUGGUAUGGAGAAGGCGGGUCAAGAAAGAAGGAUCAGUUGUAAGAGAACUCUGAGUCCUCUUUGGCAAUAGAUACAUAUCAUAAGGCACUGAAGGAAGCUUAUGUAAUUUGUAUUUCUUGUUAAACACUUUUGGUGGGCGAGUGGGAAAAAGCGAGUUUUAGAUAUAGAUGCAACGAGGGCUUACAUAUAUCUACUUAUACCGUAUUCUGUAUUAAGAGUUUGCUCAUGUUGUAUAAGAAAAAUAAAGCCUAAUUUAACUUACAAUUAA